UACGGAGGGUGCAAGCGUUAUCCGGAUUCACUGGGUUUAAAGGGUGCGUAGGAGGACAGGGAAGUCCGUGGUGAAAUCUCCGAGCUUAACUCGGAAACUGCCGUGGAUACUCUCUGUCUUGAAUCCCCUGGAGGUGAGUGGAAUAUGUCAUGUAGCGGUGAAAUGCUUAGAUAUGACAUAGAACACCGAUUGCGAAGGCAGCUCACUACAGGGGGUAUUGACUCUGAGGCACGAAAGCGUGGGGAUCAAACAGG
Molecule: ribosomal RNA, 254 nt
Filed under: uncultured bacterium
Lineage: Bacteria
Description: partial 16S ribosomal RNA
Rfam family: Bacterial small subunit ribosomal RNA
Source: RNAcentral